AGAAACGGUGCUAACGGAUUUUAAACGGACAAAUCACGUGACAACAACCCUCCAAUUUUAAAAAUCGAGUUCCGGGAAAGAGGAAAACACAACAAAAACAUUACUUAUGAAGCGAGGGUUGCACAAUAGACAGUGAGACAGUGAUCUGUUGCCAUGGAUAUUGAGGAGAAAGCAUUGAGGAAGAGGAGACGCUCAGUGAGAAAUCUGCGUCGUACAUCCGUAGUUAUGCCACUCAAUCUUGACACAUUGGAUGAAAAUGUUGAAGAUGCUUCAUCAAAAGAAAUUCAGUCUAAUGGGAACCAGGCGGUGUUUUGGUAGUAUGUGGUGUGAGAGCUUGGAACCAGUUUGUUAAGAAGCGCAGGCGUAGAUCCAGUCUAUUGGUUGGACUGGUACCAAAGACUGAAUGACCCUGAUGUAGAAGAGAAUGUAGAAAACCACAUUUUAAAUACCCAGAAUGCAUACAUUACAAAAACAUAUCGAGACCAGACAUUAGAUAAUAUUGAAGAACCCAUAACAAAAACAAACAGUUUGACCAACAGUAGAGAGACUUUAAAAACUGAAGUCUCUUCAUCAUCAUAUGAUGCUAAUUACCCUCAAGUUAGCCUUUCAAAAUCAUGUGAUGACAUGAGGUCUGAUGACUGUAGUGAACCUGUAACCAGAACAAACAGUUUGAGUGAGAACUUAGAUACAUCAAAUGAAAAUGCACUAGUUAAACAAAGGAGUUCAGGGUCAUGUGAAAACAGCAAUGAAAGU
Molecule: long non-coding RNA, 753 nt
Organism: Ruditapes philippinarum (Manila clam)
Lineage: Eukaryota; Metazoa; Mollusca; Bivalvia; Venerida; Veneridae
Exons: 3
Source: RefSeq, a predicted model, not a curated record